AGUGUUGGAACAAUUAUAGACCUUAAGUCUUAGGAAACAGAAGGCAAUUUUCUAUUUUGAGACCCUGUAGAACACAGACAAGCAUGUGAACUAAAGAAAUGUUUUUAGAGGCUCAAGGAUGUGCUGUCUCUUUUAGAGUAAGGCUCUAGGUUUGGAGAGCUGUUUGGGUGUUGCUACCACAUAAAGAAAAUCCCCUGAGCUCCCUGCACUGCUCCAGUGAUAAAAUCCCUGAAUAACCAAAUUCACACAUAGCAGGGAAACGAGAGCACCCAACAGAGCAGCUGUCACAUCACAGGACUCCUUGGGUUUGUAUGAAAACAAGGGCCCUUAGUCAUAUGUGAUGUAAAAUUUUCCAUCAGGUUUUCAGUUCUGAUUUCAGGUUACUGAAGCAGCAGAAACACAAUACCUUGGCAUUAAUCACCGAGUGGAACUCCACAAUGAGCUUGGUAAUACCGAGAUUUUCGUGACUCCAGGCAUGGAGCUGUACACCAGAUUGCAUCCCAGUGCACCUCCCACCAGAUGAUGCUGGCCUGAUGAGUCCUACCCUCACUUCUUUAGUGAAUAAAAUCCAGGAAAUUUGACUUUAUACUGGAUUGUUUUUCUGAAUCUGCAGAUCAUAAAGUACAGCUGAGAAUGUGCAGAUUGCUGUCCUUGAAAAACACUGCCUGAUGCUUUGUGUACACCCACACAGUGCCCCACCACCAAUGACUGGGUUUUUCUGUAGUGCAGUGAAAGGAUUUUUGAAGUUCAUUUUGUAUGCCUGCAGUCAAUUUGUGCUGUAUGAGAUUCUUGAAAGACUAAAUCCAUACUAACAUAACAGCCAUAAAAAGUUUUGGAAAGUGCAGUUAAAAGAUAGAUGUAUGAGAUGGGUAUUAAAUAAAUCUAUCUGGGUUUUUUUAAACCCGUAAUUUGGAAUUGUGUCAACAAACUGCAUAAUAUUUUACAUCAGUGGGAAAGAAAAGAGGAAGGGAAAGGGAGCCUUUCCUUUAGAAAAUUCCAUCAAAAUAAUAAAUGUCAAACAUUGCAAAAGUUCAAAUAUCUGCUCCCCCAAAACAGGAUAUGCAGCCUGGGAAGUUUUUAAUUACAUGCUAUAUUGCCUGAAGAAUUAGUGUUUUGGCUUGGGCUGCAAGGAGCUGUCUGUAGUAGAUUCACCUUCCUUGGUGCAAAUGACAUUUUAUACAGAGAAAAGAAACUUGUAGAUAUAGCAGUAGAACAGGACAACGCAAAAACACUAAUGGAAAGAACUGGGCAGGGAGAAUAAUCUCAGCAUUUAAGAAGAUAACCCAAGUCACAGUGCCCUGUUUAAAUGUACAGCACUGCAUUUUAUUACAAAAGUACACUGGUCAUCUCCCCAUGUUCUGUAUGCAAGAGUAUGGAAAGCUUCAGUCAAUUAAUUAUAAAUUAAAAGCGCAGGUCUGUGAACUGCUCCUCAAUGUAUUUUUCACUUAUUUUUACAUUUCCCUAUGCCAUGCAAGACUCACCACCACAAUGGGAAGAACACUUAAAAAAAAUCCCAAUGCUUAAACAGUAAAUUAAGUGUUUUUAUGGAACUGGGAAAGGAGUUUUUUCUGAUGGAAAACCAGCUGAUGUCCAUGACUUGAGAUCUUUGUUUAUGUUUUAGAUAAAGGCUGAGGUCAGAGUAACACUCAAGAACAAUGACCAGCCUGACAGCUGGUUUCUUAGGUUAUGGGAAGGCUGUAGCUAAUCACUGAACAUGUGUGUCAAAUUAAGCAACAAACACCAAAAAGAAAACUCCAAAUGAAAUAUUUUCCCAGUUUUCUAAUCUAAUACUGCUCAUCUGAUAUGUAAAAUACAGCUGUCCUUCAAUUGACUUCCUUUGUUCCAGGAACAGGUUAACAGUGAAACACAUCAUCCAGAUAACUCUCUUUUGGGUACAGAUGGAAGAACACCCAGCUCUCAAAACUUCCAUCUCCUGGCUGACACAGCAACCUGAUACAAAUCUCACCUCUGAUCCAAAAGCAAAUCAUCCUCUGCCUCCCUGGUGAUAACAGAAGUGCCCAUCUUCCCUCACGCAAGACUUCAGAGAAAUUUCCGUGGUUUUCAGGUAUUAGUCACUACAGAAUCAUUACAGAAAGCUGCAUCAUCAGCUCGACAGAAAUGUAGGAGGGAGCAGCAUUCAAAGAUAAAUCACUGUCCCCCCUCCAGGCUCUGUCAAGAUAAGUUUAAAGCCUCCAUCCCCUCCCACACCUGACAUUCCUAACUCCAGUCACAGAUUACUUGUACAGAGGAGGCACAAAGGUAACCUUAGCAAAAUCCUGAGCUGGAGGAGAACUGCAGAGCACUUGGGGAGAGGAAGGGCUGCCUUCUGCUGGAAAGGCAGGGGAAGAUGUCGGAGGCACCGGUGACAAAUUGCCGGGGCUCAGGUUCUGAGGUGGGGACGCUCUGGUCACUCUGACCCAGCCUGACAUCAUCCCUGCCCGGCCCCAUCCCUGGCACACCAGGCACCCAUGGAGGAGUAAGGAAAGAAAGGAUUCCUCCACUGGAAAUGGGAAGGGGCAUUUCCCUGAAUCCCUGAAAGCUUUUCCCCCCGAGUGCCUGCAGCAGCAGUGCUGUGGGGUGCCACAAAGCCCCGGCUGAGGGAUGGCGGGCACAGGCCCAGAGCCAGAUCAGCUUCAUGUCGAGGAGCUGUUCUGCAUCCGUGGAGUUGAAAGGGUUUAUGGCUCAUAAAAAGAACUGACAAGCUGUAUUUCAUGAGGAUUCCUUGCUUAGAGCUGUUCUCCAUGCCAAAGCACAGUUUUUGGAGAAGCAAUGUUAUUAAUCUGACAACGUGCCAUGGAAGCUCUCUGUCACCUUGUCCUAAAACAAAAACUCCAGUGUCUCCACUGCUGCUGAGCAGUUGCCUCUGCGUUUGGGCAAGUGCUGAGGACACAGGAGGCUGACCAAGGCAGGAAAUAACAGAAUCCACAUUCAGGAAAAGACACCUCAUGUUUUGCAGCUUUGUGGACUAUCCAGUGGAGGUAACAACAGGACAAUACUGAGAAAAUAACACUGAAAUAUGGAAAAGGAGUAAUGGCAGGAGUCUGGAAUGGGCCCUCAUUUGAACCUGCACUGCAGCACUUUUCAGCAUUUGUAUCACAUGAGCCUAAGGAAAACAGCCUUCAAUUUAUCCUGCAUGCUGACCUUUGCCUCUGGCCUUGAGGGGCCAAGUUGUUGUACCUGCUAUUAAAGAAGUCAUGGCAUCUUAAAAUAGAAUUAAGAGCAGAUUGCCAACGUGCUUUUUUUUCCCUGCUGUUGUCAGUGACCUACAAGAUCCAUUUAUAAAUACUGCUCACUAGUUUCUCCAGGCCCUUACUCACCCGAGUGGAAAGGCCAAGGACUGUUUCUGCUGCAGCACAGAUGAAGAAAAUUAUUUCCACCCAGAGAAGAGGGCAGUGACCUGUUUUGCUCUUAUAUAGCCUACUGGUGUCUGUGCAGAGCUUCCUUGAUUGUCCUUGAUUAAGAUCUCAAAUCUGUUUCCAGGAAGGGUAGGAUUAAAAUGCAAAAUCAAGAAGGGCAGCUGGAUAAGUUCAUUCGAGUUUGAAGCUUGAGCGUAUUGUGCUACCAAGGCACAACAACCAUUCAGGGAAGAUUGAGUGUUAUCCAUCUAAAAUGUUAUUUCCUGCAUUAUUUCUAUGUUCUCUUUUCCUUAUUUCCAGGAUAUCAAUGAUCAAGGUCUGGUUUCCCCACUUGUGGGACAGUUUGGAAUGUACCAGCCAUGGAGUCCACUCUCCCUGAUGGCCCUCAGCAUCUUCAAGGGCUCAAAUCCAGAGGAACCUUCCUGUGAUACCUCUGGCACUGACACCAUCUCCCUGCUCAGGAGAUCUAGAGCUCCUCUUGGAACGUAUUUUCUUCUUCAGAUGAGGUGUUCUGGCCCUGUUUGCAACUGCAGAAAACCAGAACCAAUCUCUUGUAGGUUGUGCUGAGCUCCCACCUCAGACUGGGCACCUUCCCUCUGUGAGGGUGUAAAAUGCCAGAAACAAAGCCCCCCUUCAGCUCCUGUGUCCCUGCUUGCCCCACAUGGAACUGUGCAGGAUGGAACCCACAACUUCUCUCGGGUCCCUGAGCUCUCAAUGCCUCCCUGAAAAAUCAGCCCAGCAACCAGCAAGGACCACAGGAAGAAAAUCAGCAUGACCAAGGAGUCAUCCAGCCCUAGGGCAGCACAGGUUGAUGGAACUUGAGGGACAAUUCAAUCUUCAUUCUUUGGUUUGCUGCUCCCAGCUAGAGCAGGAGCCUGUCUGUGAGAGCUGCCUUCAGGGGCACGGCUCCUUUUAUCAGCUGGGCACUGCACCCGGUGCCACCUGCUUGUGACAAACCUGGACAGGAGGAGGUUCUGCCCUGGGCCUUGCCUGGCACUGCUCUGGAGUGACCAGCAGUCCUGGUGCUGCAUCUCCAUGGAUAAGGACACCAAAGUGAGUGCAGAACGUGGACAAAGCCCACGGUAAUUACUCAGGGCCUGAUCCUCAGUAAGGACACCUUAGCUGUAGGAACCGCUUUUGUUGUGAAAUUCCAUUAUUCCAUGAGAUUUCUUUUGCAGUGAGGUCCUGAUCCCAGCUUCUGCAUGAAGUGGAAACAGAUGAAGUUGCAGGAUGGUCUGAUACACAUUUUGCCUGUUUAAUGAGCUUGGGAUUUUUAAUAGCUAAUGCACUGCAGUGUGUUUUGGCUGAGUCCCUAAGAUGUUUCAAAGCCCAAUUAUCUCCUGCAAGGUCAGUAGGCACUUAUUCUUAAGGGCCCAUGAGUCAAUAUAUGUUUGCAUUCUAUGGUCCCUUUGAUGUUUUAAUGUUUGUUAUAAAAAUUGCCACAGUGAUUCAUUUGCAUGUAUUUCUUCUUUGUUUGGAAGGGAAUCGCUUGGAGUGGCUAUUUUAAGGGUUGUUAAGUGGAACAACCUAAGUGUGAACACUCUGAAAAGAUAAAUGGAAACAUUUAA
Cyanistes caeruleus (blue tit) is the source of this 4924-nucleotide non-coding RNA. Lineage: Eukaryota; Metazoa; Chordata; Aves; Passeriformes; Paridae. The record is from RefSeq and is a predicted model, not a curated record.